This 2157-nucleotide ribosomal RNA is filed under the name Triticum aestivum (bread wheat). RNAcentral describes it as "partial small subunit ribosomal RNA". Lineage: Eukaryota; Viridiplantae; Streptophyta; Magnoliopsida; Poales; Poaceae. The record is from RNAcentral.
AUGCAGCCACUCCAGCUUUCACGCAUGAGAUACAACGAAAAACUACCGAUAAGUUCCCUUGGCAUUGCUCUUGUGAUGCUCAUGUCCUUGGCCGCUAUCACUAGCUCCUGCACAGAGCAAGAGAAGGCCUCCCUCCUCAAGUUCCUCACUGGGCUCUCACAGGAUGGUGGCCUUGCCGCGUCGUGGCGGAAUGGCACAGAUUGCUGCACGUGGGAAGGGAUCACCUGCAGCAUGGAUGGGACGGUUACUGAUGUCUCGCUGGCUUCCAAGGGUCUUCAGGGGUAUAUCUCACCUACUGUUGGCAGCCUCGCCGGAUUGUUGCGACUGAAUCUGUCAAACAACAUGCUGUCCAGUGGACUACCACAAGAAUUGGUGUCUUCCGGCAGCAUCAUCGCCAUCGACAUCAGCUUCAACCGCCUAGACGGAGAACUGCAUGAGAUGCCAUCUUCAACCCCAGUGCGUCCCUUGAAGGUACUGAACAUCUCCAGCAAUUUGUUUGCAGGACAGUUUCCAUCCUCCACAUGGGGGGCCAUGAAAGACCUGGUCGCACUCAACGCCAGCAACAACAGCUUUACUGGGCAACUGCCAACUCAUUUCUGCACCAGCUUUCCAUCCUUGGUUGUGCUUGAGCUCUCUUACAACCGAUUCAGAGGGAGCAUUCCACCUGAAUUAGGUAGCUGCUCCAUGCUCAGAGUGCUCAAGGUUGGCCACAACAACCUCAGCGGGACUCUCCCAGACGAACUCUUUAAUGCUACCUCUUUGGAGUUCCUCUCUUUUCCCAGGAGUGGUUUACAAGGAAUACUUGAAGACACAUAUAUUGCCAAACUCACUUUUUUGGUUACCCUUGAUCUUGGAGAGAACAACUUCAGUGGCAAGAUUCCAGAAUUUAUAGGCCAUCUCAAGAGAUUGGAGGAACUCUAUUUGAACAGUAAUAUCAUGUAUGGGGAGCUGCCAUCAACUCUAGCAAACUGCACAAAUCUCAUAACCAUCAACCUCAACUGCAACAAUUUCAGCGGACAACUCACCAAGGUCAAUUUUUCUAGCCUACCCAAUCUAAUGUCUUUAGAUCUUAUGCGGAACAACUUCGAUGGCACAAUUCCAGAAAGUAUAUACUCUUGCAGAAAACUAAUUGCACUGCGACUAUCUUCCAAUAAGUUCCACGGCCAGUUAGCAAAAGGGCUCGGCAAUCUGAAGUCCCUGUCGUUCCUGUCACUUUAUAAUAAUAAUCUUACAAACAUAACAGAUGCACUUCAGAUUCUUGGAAGCUCCAAGAACCUCAGCACCCUUCUUAUUGGGCGUAACUUCAGGCAUGAGACCAUGCCAGAGGAUGACACCAUUGGCAGUUUUGAAAAUAUUCGGUUUCUUGGUAUAAGUGAUUGCCCAUUAUUCGGAAAAAUACCUUUCUGGAUAUCAAAGAUAGCAAAUUUAGAGAUACUAAUAUUGUCUAACAAUCAGCUCACAGGAUCGAUACCAGCCUGGAUCAAAGCUCUAAGCUAUGUCUUCUACCUUGACAUAUCAAACAACAGCCUCACAGGGGAAAUUCCAACAACAUUGACCGAUAUGCCAAUGCUAGAGUCAGCCAAGACAGAUGCCAAUUCGAACCAAAGGGUCUUCAUACUGCCUGUUUAUCCAACUCUAUCACAUCAAUAUCGCCAACCUUUUGCUUUCCCUAAAUUGCUGGAUCUAAGCAAUAAUAAGUUCACUGGUGAGAUCCCUUCGACGAUCGGUCAAUUGAAAUCCCUCCGUUCACUCAAUUUGAGCUUCAACAACUUAACAGGUCAGAUCCCAGAAUCAACAUGCAACCUCACAAGCCUGCAGGUCCUAGACUUGUCCAACAACAAUCUCACAGGUGCGAUCCCAGCUGCAUUGGACAGCCUGCACUUCCUUGCAGCGUUUAACGUUUCUGACAAUGAUCUAGAAGGUCCUAUUCCAUCUGGAGGCCAGUUCAACACAUUUGGGACUUCUAGCUUUGACGGGAAUACAAAGCUCUGCGGAUCUAUGCUCAUUCAUAAAUGUGGUUCGGCAGAAGCACCUCCUGUCAAUGUUCUGACAACAAAACAAACUGAUUACAAGGUGGCCUUUGUGAUUGCCUUCAGCACGUUCUUUGGUGUAGGGGUGUUGUAUGAUCAGAUAGUCUUAUCUAGGUAUUUUGGCUAG